RNAcentral lists this ribosomal RNA (420 nucleotides) under uncultured bacterium. Its description in RNAcentral is "bacterial SSU rRNA". It matches the Rfam family "Bacterial small subunit ribosomal RNA", at positions 356 to 773 of the family's 1533-position model. The record is from RNAcentral.
GAGGAAUAUUGGGCAAUGCCCGCAAGGGUGACCCAGCAACGCCGCGUGGAGGAUGAAUGUCGUAAGAUUGUAAACUCCUGUUAGAGGGGAAGAAUAGUACCGGUUGGACCGGUCUAUGACUGUACCCUCAGAGAAAGCCCCGGCUAACUACGUGCCAGCAGCCGCGGUAAUACGUAGGGGGCAAGCGUUGUCCGGAUUUACUGGGUGUAAAGGGCGCGCAGGCGGGAUAAAAAGUCAGUGGUGAAAUCCUACAGCUUAACUGUAGAACUGCCUUUGAUACUUUUAUUCUUGAGUUCGGGAGAGAGAGACGGAAGUCCAGGUGUAGUGGUGAAAUACGUAGAUAUCUGGAAGAACACCAGUUGCGAAGGCGGUCUCUUGGUCCGACACUGACGCUGAGGCGCGAAAGCGUGGGGAGCAAAC